GAUGAACGCUGGCGGCGUGCCUAAUACAUGCAAGUCGAGCGAACGGACGAGAAGCUUGCUUUUCUGAUGUUAGCGGCGGACGGGUGAGUAACACGUGGAUAACCUACCUAUAAGACUGGGAUAACUUCGGGAAACCGGAUCUAAUACCGGAUAAUAUUUUGAACCGCAUGGUUCAAAAGUGAAAGACGGUCUUGCUGUCACUUAUAGAUGGAUCCGCGCUGCAUUAGCUAGUUGGUAAGGUAACGGCUUACCAAGGCAACGAUGCAUAGCCGACCUGAGAGGGUGAUCGGCCACACUGGAGCUGAGACACGGUCCAGACUCCUACGGGAGGCAGCAGUAGGGAAUCUUCCGCAAUGGGCGAAAGCCUGACGGAGCAACGCCGCGUGAGUGAUGAAGGUCUUCGGAUCGUAAAACUCUGUUAUUAGGGAAGAACAUAUGUGUAAGUAACUGUGCACAUCUUGACGGUACCUAAUCAGAAAGCCACGGCUAACUACGUG
Molecule: ribosomal RNA, 497 nt
Filed under: uncultured bacterium
Lineage: Bacteria
Description: partial 16S ribosomal RNA
Rfam family: Bacterial small subunit ribosomal RNA
Source: RNAcentral